This 946-nucleotide ribosomal RNA is filed under the name uncultured prokaryote. Its description in RNAcentral is "bacterial SSU rRNA". It matches the Rfam family "Bacterial small subunit ribosomal RNA", at positions 492 to 1439 of the family's 1533-position model. The record is from RNAcentral.
UCCGGCUAACUUCGUGCCAGCAGCCGCGGUAAUACGAAGGGACCUAGCGUAGUUCGGAAUUACUGGGCUUAAAGAGUUCGUAGGUGGUUAAAAAAGUUGGUGGUGAAAUCCCAGAGCUUAACUCUGGAACUGCCAUCAAAACUUUUUAGCUAGAGUAUGAUAGAGGGAAGUAGAAUUUCUAGUGUAGAGGUGAAAUUCGUAGAUAUUAGAAAGAAUACCGAUUGCGAAGGCAGCUUUCUGGAUCAUUACUGACACAGAGGAACGAAAGCAUGGGUAGCGAAGAGGAUUAGAUACCCUCGUAGUCCAUGCCGUAAACGAUGUGUGUUAGACGUUGGAAAUUUAUUUUCAGUGUCGCAGCGAAAGCAAUAAACACACCGCCUGGGGAGUACGACCGCAAGGUUAAAACUCAAAUGAAUUGACGGGGACCCGCACAAGUAGUGGAGCAUGUGGUUUAAUUCGAAGAUACGCGCAGAACCUUACCAACACUUGACAUAUUCGUCGCGACUCUAAGAGAUUAGAGUUUUCGGUUCGGCCGGACGAAACACAGGCGCUGCAUGGCUGUCGUCAGCUCGUGUCGUGAGAUGUUGGGUUAAGUCCCGCAACGAGCGCAACCCUUACUUUUAGUUGCCAUCAUUUAGUUGGGAGCUCUAAAAGAACUGCCAGUGAUAAGCUGGAGGAAGGUGGGGAUGACGUCAAGUCCUCAUGGCCCUUAUGUGUUGGGCUACACACGUGCUACAAUGGCAUUUACAAUAGGAAGCAAGGCGGCGACGUCAAGCAAAUCCUAAAAGAAUGCCUCAGUUCGGAUUGUACUCUGCAACUCGAGUACAUGAAGCUGGAAUUACUAGUAAUCGUGGAUCAGCGUGCCACGGUGAAUGCGUUCCCGGGUCUUGUACACACCGCCCGUCACACCAUGGGAGUUGGUUCUACCUUAAGGCAAAGUUAAAAC